RNAcentral lists this transfer RNA (72 nucleotides) under Ailuropoda melanoleuca (giant panda). It matches the Rfam family "tRNA". From Rfam's summary of the family: Transfer RNA (tRNA) molecules are approximately 80 nucleotides in length. Lineage: Eukaryota; Metazoa; Chordata; Mammalia; Carnivora; Ursidae. The record is from Rfam by way of RNAcentral.
GCCUGGUUGGCUUAGUCGGUGGAAUGUGAGACUUUUAUCUCGGGGUUGUGGGUUCAAGUCCCACAUUAGGUG